This is a long non-coding RNA of Asparagus officinalis (garden asparagus), 249 nucleotides long. RefSeq lists it as uncharacterized. The record is from RefSeq and is a predicted model, not a curated record. The transcript is spliced from 3 exons. Lineage: Eukaryota; Viridiplantae; Streptophyta; Magnoliopsida; Asparagales; Asparagaceae.
GCCAUUGAGAGAGAUCCGCAAAUGCCGGCCUAGGAAAUGCAAAUUGUGUGGAAAGCGAGGACAAAAUCAUGAUAGUAGAAAUUGCCCUCUAAAGUUGUCGAGUGAUUCAAUGGAACAAGAUAAUAUUGAUGAAGCCACUGAUGAUUUAGAAGAUUCCUUUGAGGAAGAUGAAGUUCUCACUAUUGCGUGAAGUUUGAUCAAGGUUGGCGGAGUAAAAUUCAAGGACAAGACAUCGUUGGGGAAAUGGCC